GUCAGUCAACCAGACAUGUCUUCUGAGAGGUAAGUUUUUGAAAAAUACUAGACUUUUCUCAAAUGUAUUUCUUUACAGGAAUAAAAAGAAAGCUAAUUUUGCAUGAGCAUGCAGGAAGUCUGCAGACAGACAUUCUACAUAGUCCCUUGGGGACUCAGUAGAAGUGGAAUCAAGACCAACCCAAGCCCAACAAGGCAGCUCCGCUGGUUAAUGCCUCCCAGAUCUGUCAUCUGUGAUAAAGAGCCUCGCUGUAGCUGAGGAGCUGGCCAAGAACCUUUCCCAGUUAGCCAAGUUCGCUGAGCUCUUCAGCAGUGCUUUGGCUAGGCCACCCAAAGCCACCAUCUGCAGCAGACAAGGUCAAUUCUUCUGCUCUCAUGCCUUGGCCAUCAUGACCAGCUAGCUCCACUGUGUUGCUGGCCAGGGCCAGCACUGCUGGUGAAGCUGGUUCUCCUGAGAUCCAGACCAGAGGUGAUGGUGUUUGUUCAGGUGCAGAGCGGACCGCAGUCCUUUGUUCGUCCUACCUUGAUGCCUGUCGUAGCCCAAGGACUCAAGAAGAUCAAGUAAAAUGAAACCCAGGCAGCACAGAGCGGGAGGAAGUCAGAGACAGGCACACUGUAGUGCCAUCCACACACCUGCCACCCAGCUCACUGCACAAGCAGGCCAUAGAUACCCACCUGCUGCCACACCACACAACAUGCAGCACACAGGAUGGAAAAUGUCGCCCAGGGUCUGCCAGCUACAUGCUCAGCCUGCAGCAGGAGUCAUCGCAGUGGUGGUCAGAUGGCAGAGAAAGAAAGGCGGAACGGCUUGCGCAUCAUGAAGAGUGGUGGAACUGGAGACUCAAGGAUGGAGAGGAGAAGCCUAUCUUGAGUGGGCAGCCCUGCCACCUCAGGCCACGGUGAAGUUCAAGCCCAAGCUGCCACUGAGGGCCAUGGUCGGUCAGUGACUAUAGCAGCAGCAGGGGUCAGUGUCGAUGACCGUGCUCAUAUUAACACUAGAGAAUGUGGGCAGUCACCAGGGACAUGGAUAGAGCAACGCAUAGCUGGCCCCUCUCCUCACUGGAUCCAGUGCGCUUGAGAGCCAGCCGCAGCACUCACCACUGGGCAGCACUUGGAGGAAAAUAAAUGUCCACCAAAUGGCUGUUUAAAUUAAUUAUAGGAAGUUAUACAAGA
This 1172-nucleotide long non-coding RNA is filed under the name Mus musculus (house mouse). RNAcentral describes it as "predicted gene 6145". Lineage: Eukaryota; Metazoa; Chordata; Mammalia; Rodentia; Muridae. The record is from RNAcentral.